UACAGAGGUCCCGAGCGUUGUUCGGAUUCAUUGGGCGUAAAGCGUGCGCAGGCGGUUCGUUGUGUCGGUGGUGAAAUCCCCGGGCUUAACCUGGGAAUGGCCAUGGAAACUGGCGAACUGGAGUGCGGCAGAGGGGGGUGGAAUUCCGCGUGUAGCAGUGAAAUGCGUAGAGAUGCGGAGGAACACCGAUGGCGAAGGCAGCCCCCUGGGCUAGCACUGACGCUCAGGCACGAAAGCGUGGGGAGCAAACAGG
RNAcentral lists this ribosomal RNA (253 nucleotides) under uncultured bacterium. RNAcentral's name for it is "partial 16S ribosomal RNA". It matches the Rfam family "Bacterial small subunit ribosomal RNA", at positions 524 to 776 of the family's 1533-position model. The record is from RNAcentral.